Cornus florida is the source of this 831-nucleotide RNA transcript. It is a transcript of the gene named cycloeucalenol cycloisomerase-like, with no coding region annotated. The transcript is spliced from 3 exons. NCBI's taxonomy places the organism in Eukaryota, Viridiplantae, Streptophyta, Magnoliopsida, Cornales, Cornaceae. The record is from RefSeq and is a predicted model, not a curated record.
AGUUCGGUUGUGUCUGAGGUCCAUUGGAGAGAAAAGCCUUAGAUCCCAAUUAACGAAAUGGGAGGAGAGUUCAUUUUCCUCCAAAUUAGGGUUUUCUUAGAGUUUUGUACUUUGACACUCUCCAAAGUUUCAGCAAUUUCUUGAUAAAAUUACACUGAUGUAUAUAUGUAUGUGUAUAUAUUCACAGGUAGCGAAGUAGCUUCUUGUAGUUCGAGUUUGUGGUUUGCUCCCAAUCCAAGCAAGAGAUGGGGCGAGUUAUUUUUUCUUAUCUACGCACCAUUUUGGCUCACUCUUUGCCUUAGAAUUGUCGUUCCGUACAAGCUCUACGAGAGCUUUACGGAAUUGGAGUAUCUGCUUUUGGGACUGGUUUCAGUGGUUCCUUCUUUCUUGAUACCAAUGCUAGUUGUUGGAGAGGUGAAUUGUCGGAUUAUCUUACCUUUUUCUCCUUGAGGCUUCAUCACAGCAUCAUAAUAAUAAGAAUGGCUCUCAUCCUUCUGGUGGUCAAACCAGUCUAUUUGGGCUUUUCCUCAUGAAACACUACAUCCACUUUGAUCAUUCAUUUGGGCCCGUGGUGAUAGGCCAAUGUUUGUACAAAUUAUUUGGUGAUUUAGUUGGUUGUUGUUUUACUUCUGAAUUAUCCAUGGAUUGCUUGAAUCAAGUUCUUUGGGCUAUUUGAUUGCUAAUAUGGCCGGUCACUUUUGUUGAUAUUGGCUGCUCCUACUGCUUUUAAGAGUUAUUAUUUUUAUGCUUUUUCUGGGUUGUAACUAUAAAAUUGUAUUGUGUAGGCCAGUCUCUGGAUAGUAAUUUUUACUGCUUUUAGGUGUUUUAUUA